CAAAGCCUGACUUUGAGUGUUUGGUGAGCAGACCUGCUAGCUACUGGUGUGAACCAGAAACCCAAUACCCUGGUAGAAGUGUGGACUUGUGUGCACAUGCACACUGCCUGCCUGAUAUUGUGAUCAUCUUCAAGUAGCUUUCUGAGCGUCUCUUCAGGAUGCGCCGUUUUGUGGGCGGUCUUAUUUACACCUUUGUCUCCACUGGAAGUAAUCAUUCAGAAUCCUCAGUUUACUUUCAAACCAGAGGACAAUACCGCCGUGAAGAUGGACCGCGCAACUUCUGAACGAGUCACGGCAGAGGACGCUAUUAUUAUUUGCGACGCUAUUCGGCCAUUGGGGAAAUGGAACAAGAGAGAGCAAUCAUGUCAUUGUAAAUCAACAGAACUGUUAAAUAAUUAUUGUUAAUUAACGAUAUGCUGGUGUUAAUCUGUAUAGUCAUGAUCAGAGUUCACAAAUGUUUGUAAACAUAAAGAUUAUUGAAUGAGAAGUGUGUGCAUGAGAAAACUAUGGGUCGGAAUUGAACCUGUUGUUGGCACAAGAUUGGCAAUUAAAGUUAA
Nerophis lumbriciformis (worm pipefish) is the source of this 557-nucleotide long non-coding RNA. RefSeq lists it as uncharacterized. NCBI's taxonomy places the organism in Eukaryota, Metazoa, Chordata, Actinopteri, Syngnathiformes, Syngnathidae. The record is from RefSeq and is a predicted model, not a curated record.